UCGCACUAUUGGUUAGAGCCUGUAAGUAUGCAUUUCACUGUAAGGUCUACCUACACCUGUUGUUUUCGGCGCACGUGACAAAUAAACUUUGAUUUGAUUUGCUGCUAUCCUCAGACUGCACCCCAACAAGCUGCAGGUCCUCGGUAAUGUUGCCCUCCAUUUAAAAUGUUUAAAUUGUGUCACCCCAAAUUCAACUAAUCAACAAUAACGUCGUAAAUCUGUUUGUGCUGUUGCCAACUUCUUUUGUCCUUGUUCAUUCGCUGUCUGGCAGAUUUAGACUAGGCAAAACCAGUGAUUAUUUUUAUUGAGUGUGGUAUUCCUGGGCUAAAACUAAAUGUGUACACUGUCGUGUUGCCCCUGGAAUGAUUGUGAAGUAGACCAAAUUAUCUACCCCCACAAAAUAGUUUGAGAAAGUCAUCUGUGUGUUACCAUGUCCUGUAGGUGACUGCUGGUCCGCAUUGAAGCGCUCUCUCAUGCCCAAGCACAUUGGGGUGUGGAAGAAGGCCCUGUCUGUGAUUUUGACAAGGAAACAUAUUCUACGCACCUGUGACCCAAGGAUCAAACACCACACAAUUUUUCCCCCCGAUGUUCACAACAUGGACAGCUAUUUAUUUAUGAUACACAUUUAAUUGCACAUUUCCAUUCAGUGUGCAAUUAAUGAAGUAGCUGUCUAACCCCGGGGUCUCAAGUGAAGCUGGGCGCCAUUUCACAGGAACAACUGCCUUAUAGUCGCACGCAGCUAGCUGUUAGGAUGUUACUCCAUCUCCUCUUUUCCGUGGAUGGAUUCCAAUAGCUCGUAAGAUAGCUUUAGGCUCUGUGGCUGCUCACAGCCUUGAUCUCUCUAGCCUCCAGACCUGCAUCAGAGAGCUGCUGGAUGUUAGUCGUCUUGAUGCAGUGGUUGGUAUACCUACGGGAUGUGCCGGCCUCCUAGAGAGAGAGAGCGAGCAAUUAAUAAUAGCAAUAUGACAAUGAUUCUAUUAAUGUUUAUUCUAUUCAUAUAACUGUAUAGCAGCCUAGCUAUUUGAACAAAAUGGUAUACCUUGCACAGACAGGGCAGCAUUGAUGAAAGGAUGUUGAGUCCCAUUGGCUCUGUGGUAUACCACAACGUUGUCGUUGGAUAGCUUUCGUCUGGUUAACAAUGGGAAUUCCAAACCACCCGCUUCAUAACACUAUAUAUGGCGGAAAUGUCACCUAUCAAAGGGCAAGAUGGAGCCUAUUAGACAAGUGUCCUGGGGUUGAUUUGGGAUUCAUGGUGAACAUGUUCUGCAACCUGGCUAAAAUGUUUUGAUGCAUUGAUUUGAAAAGUAGUUUGAAUGGUGUCAAGUGUCUAUUGCUUCACCAUUUAUUAAUUGAGGGCAUUUCCCCCCUAGAACACUGUGUAUGAAGGAGAGUACCAUGCUGGGCAUCCCAACAUCGUCACAUUCUGGGAGGUGUUUGAGGAACUGACAGAGGAUCAAAAGAAAGCGUUCCUGUUGUUCCUGACUGGCUGUGAUCGUGUGCCCAUCCUGGGUAUGAACCAGAUCAGGAUGAGGGUCCAAACCCUUCUCAACUCCUCCCAACAGCAUUUCCCAGAGGCGCUGACCAACACUCUCUGUUGCAGCUGCCCAUCUACCCCUCCAAAGAGACACUACAGAGCAGGCUUAUAGAAGCUGUUGGCCACAACAGAGGCUUCUGGAAUGAAUAAUGGGUGUAUAGUGUUGCUGCUGUGUAUAGUCCUCUCCUGUGUUCAUCUUUUCAUUGUUCCAUAGUUGGGUUUAAGAUUUGGAUUGUUUUAAUGUAGGGUUGUAUUUCAAAUCCUAACUUGAGAUCUGUGCGGUACUAUGACAUUAUCAUAUUGCAUUCACAAUUUUAUUAAAACAUUUAUAAAUCAAAAA
This is a non-coding RNA of Oncorhynchus mykiss (rainbow trout), 1874 nucleotides long. The record is from RefSeq and is a predicted model, not a curated record. Lineage: Eukaryota; Metazoa; Chordata; Actinopteri; Salmoniformes; Salmonidae.